This 263-nucleotide ribosomal RNA is filed under the name Acidimicrobiales bacterium. RNAcentral describes it as "partial 23S ribosomal RNA". It matches the Rfam family "Bacterial large subunit ribosomal RNA", at positions 1 to 280 of the family's 2925-position model. The record is from RNAcentral. Lineage: Bacteria; Bacillati; Actinomycetota; Acidimicrobiia; Acidimicrobiales.
AGAGAAGUAAUUAAGGGCGUACGGCGGAUGCCUAGGCUCACAGAGGCGAUGAAGGACGUGAUAAGCUGCGAUAAGCUGCGGGGAUUGGCACACACAAUUUGAUCCGCAGAUUUCCGAAUGGGGAAACCCACUAUAUUGAAGAUAUAGUAUCCGUUAAGGAGGUAAACCCAGGGAACUGAAACAUCUAAGUACCUGGAGGAAAAUAAAACAAAAGUGAUUCCGUUAGUAGUGGCGAGCGAACGCGGAUUAGCCCAAACCAAAGU